GCAGUGGUGGUUCAGUGAAAGAAUUCUCGCUUUCCAUGCAGAAGACCCGGGUUCCAUUCCUGGCCAAUGUA
Molecule: transfer RNA, 71 nt
Filed under: Loxodonta africana (African savanna elephant)
Lineage: Eukaryota; Metazoa; Chordata; Mammalia; Proboscidea; Elephantidae
Rfam family: tRNA
About the family: Transfer RNA (tRNA) molecules are approximately 80 nucleotides in length. Their secondary structure includes four short double-helical elements and three loops (D, anti-codon, and T loops).
Source: Rfam by way of RNAcentral